AUGUCUGGCUGGGUUCAAGAGAAGUCUGGCGAGGCCACGAAGAUGGCAUCCAAGACGGGGCAGUCCAUCCAGGACCGCGCCGUCGAGGCAAAAGACCAGACCGGCAGCUUCCUUGGCGAGAAGAGUGAAGUUGUCACGAAGGCUGCCUCCGAGACUACGGAGGCAGCCAAAAAGAUGAGUGGCGAGGCCAUGGCGAAGGCCCCGGUCGCCCCCAAGGAAAAUGUCUUCCAACAGGCUGGCGGGAAUAUGGUGGGUGCCGCUACGGAUGCCAAGGAUGUUGUCAUGAACACACUCGGGAUGGGAGGAGGCAAGUGA
Molecule: ribosomal RNA, 315 nt
Filed under: Triticum aestivum (bread wheat)
Lineage: Eukaryota; Viridiplantae; Streptophyta; Magnoliopsida; Poales; Poaceae
Description: partial small subunit ribosomal RNA
Source: RNAcentral